Molecule: non-coding RNA, 921 nt
Organism: Pimephales promelas (fathead minnow)
Lineage: Eukaryota; Metazoa; Chordata; Actinopteri; Cypriniformes; Leuciscidae
Source: RefSeq, a predicted model, not a curated record
UAAUGUGAGUACCAAUUAUUUUGACAAAUAUUUGUUUAAUAUUCUUGAUAAUAUUUUUAGUGAACUUCUUAUCUAAAAUGUAAUGUUUAACUUUUAAGACAUGUACAGUAGAUAUUGAAACUCACAUCAUAAUUUUCCUCAAAUUUAUUUUCGUAUUGCGCUUUAAAGGCAGUAAAUUGUAGGGUUGCACAAAUUGCAGCAGAGACCCAGAAUGUAAGUAAUCACUUGAGAACAUAAACUUUUUUUCACACUACUAUUCAGAAACGUAAUUAAGUAUUCCUAUUGUGCGAUUUAUUCAACAUACAGGUUAUGUGACAGAUGUAGCGCACUUCCUUUAUACAAUAUACAUGUAAUUUUGUUCUCUCUUUAGUGUAUAGCCUUGACGACUGACACAUUCAUUUUGUGGCAUAGAGACUGGCUUGCUUCAAAAACAGUUUCAGAUUCUCAUUUGAAAAUUCUUGAGGUACUGUACAAUUUGCAAAAUAAAUAUAUAUUAAGCUCUCCUGCAUGUUUAUACAUGUAAUGGCACAGUAUGUGUUUCCUAUUUCUUUCAUUACAGUAUGAUGCACAGAAAAUUCUGUUUCCAAGAAUUGUUGGUGGCCAGACACCAGAGAGAGGAUGCCACUUCAUUCUUUGGCAAGCUUUAUGGAAAAGAACAUGUGACAUAUUACAUGCAUGGAUUGGUUUGGUGCACCUCCUCAGACAAGAUGCCAAAAAGUAUGCUGUCCUUGAUAACAUAUCAUGUUUCCCAUUUGAAAACUUCCUUGGCCUGGGUGCCUUAAUAAACAAUAGACAGUCAUCGCUCAGUUAUUGGCCCUUGGACUCACCUGGCACCUCUUGUACAGCAUGAAGUUUUCUGCUAUGAAGAUUUACAGAGACUCCAGAAUGAAAAGCAAUGCACCAGCAGCUUCAGAUGACAGC